RNAcentral lists this ribosomal RNA (253 nucleotides) under uncultured bacterium. RNAcentral's name for it is "partial 16S ribosomal RNA". It matches the Rfam family "Bacterial small subunit ribosomal RNA", at positions 524 to 776 of the family's 1533-position model. The record is from RNAcentral.
UACGGAGGGUGCAAGCGUUAAUCGGAAUUACUGGGCGUAAAGCGCACGUAGGUGGUUUGUUAAUCUAGAUGUGAAAGCCCCGGGCUCAACCUGGGAAUUGCAUUUAGAACUGGCAAGCUAGAGUAGGGUAGAGGGGUGUGGAAUUCCACGUGUAGCAGUGAAAUGCGUAGAUAUGUGGAGGAAUACCGAUGGCGAAGGCAGCCCCCUGGGUCGAUACUGACGCUCAUGCACGAAAGCGUGGGGAGCGAACAGG